RNAcentral lists this non-coding RNA (24 nucleotides) under Arabidopsis thaliana (thale cress). The record is from RNAcentral. Lineage: Eukaryota; Viridiplantae; Streptophyta; Magnoliopsida; Brassicales; Brassicaceae.
UCAAACAGUGUCCUAUGAAUUGCA